Molecule: ribosomal RNA, 253 nt
Filed under: uncultured bacterium
Lineage: Bacteria
Description: partial 16S ribosomal RNA
Rfam family: Bacterial small subunit ribosomal RNA
Source: RNAcentral
GACAGAGGGGGCAAACGUUGUUCGGAAUUACUGGGCGUAAAGCGCGUGUAGGCGGCUAAGUAAGUCGGGCGUGAAAUCCCACGGCUCAACCGUGGAAGUGCACUCGAAACUGCGUAGCUAGAGUCCUGGAGAGGAAGGUGGAAUGCUUGGUGUAGAGGUGAAAUUCGUAGAUAUCAAGCGGAACACCGGUGGCGAAGGCGGCCUUCUGGACAGUGACUGACGCUGAGACGCGAAAGCGUGGGGAGCAAACAGG